GAGAGCAGCAGAGAGUCCCGGCGCUUCAACGCGACGCCGCAUGACUUGGAUAUUCCCAUUAUUAGCGAAAUGUUGUUCUGCCAUUCCGGGUCAUGCCCAGGAGGGUAACGAGAGGUGCUUGAUUUGCUCCCUGCACACAUCGCGUCCCUCCGUGCCUUUUCCGUCCCCUCUUUCACAGCCGCUGCCAUCCCCGGCAGAACGAGCUGCAUCCACACACAUGGAGAGGAUGCUCUGAAAUGAUCCCGGAGGCACAUCUAGCCCAUCAAUAAAAGCCAGAGGAGCGGAGGAGAGGGAAUAUUCAUUUAUCUUCAUUAGGACUCUGGCCAGCUCCUCUGAUCACCACGUCGGCGUCGCCGGGAAGAGAAAAAGCUACUGUUCCUUUCUCCGGCUUCUCUGCCUCCAGACGCACAUCCCAUCGCGGGCUCGCAACCAUCGCAAGGUGCUGGGACCCCACUCAGCACCUGCCCUCAGCCAAGGGAAGAAUGGGAUUUGGGGGAUAUUCAGCUUUUCUCUGCUGUUCUGCAGAAGUUGACUUCCAGAAGAACGGGCAGCAAGGGGAGGGUGAAUGGAAAAGCAAAUGAAUGUCAUGAGAUGCCCAUCAGUGGAGGCAGAUUAAAGGGGAGGGGAAGCCUAUUAGAGAGGCAGAAGAUUGAAUGAGUGCUAUCAGGCCUGAAUAUCUUAAAGGGAUGAUAUCUCAGCCCCCAUCACCAGCCUCUCUGUAACAUACUCGCAUCAGCUGUUCCCACUUUGGACAAGCGGGAUUAUUUUGGGAGAGGCACUUCGCCCUCCCUGCCCCACUCGAGCUUUCCUCCCAUGGACACACUGAAAGAUCCCUCCUUCAAAACCCUCUGCAGACCUCGCUGGGAUGCUGAGGAGCAAAGUCACCUGCUGAUGUGCUCAGGGAUAUCACGCAGCCGCCACUAGACACUCUCCUGUGAAGGAUGAUCCUGGGAGCCAAGCUCUGGCAGUCAAGUGCUUAUGGAAUGAAUGGAGACCUCAGGUUUGGUCUCCAUACCCUGCUCAUCAUCUCUCUGAAACCCCCUCCUGAAAUGCCACAGUUCACCCAGAUCACCCACAGAGACACCCAAUUCUUCUUUGACCCUUGCUAAGCUUCGGAGCCUUGGUGGCUUCCAGAAGCAACAAGGUCCAGUGUCCAAUAACACUUUGAAGAAUAACCAGGGUGACCAGGCCUUUAAGAGAUGUCAGAUGUCAAAUUCAACCUAUCAUCUUUCCGCACAGCCAUAAUAAAAGAUAUUUUAAAAACA
Molecule: long non-coding RNA, 1265 nt
Organism: Columba livia (rock pigeon)
Lineage: Eukaryota; Metazoa; Chordata; Aves; Columbiformes; Columbidae
Exons: 2
Source: RefSeq, a predicted model, not a curated record